CAGCAGCCACGGUAAGACAGAGGAUGCAAGCGUUAUCCGGAAUGAUUGGGCGUAAAGCGUGCGUAGGUGGUGGUUUAAGUCCGUUGUGAAAGCCCUGGGCUCAACCUGGGAAUUGCAGUGGAUACUGGGUCACUAGAGUGUGGUAGAGGAUAGUGGAAUUUCCGGUGUAGCAGUGAAAUGCGUAGAGAUCGGAAGGAACAUCUGUGGCGAAGGCGACUAUCUGGGCCAACACUGACACUGAGGCACGAAAGCGUGGGGAGCAAACAGGAUUAGAUACCCCCGUAGUCCCUGUCUCUUAUAC
Molecule: ribosomal RNA, 301 nt
Filed under: uncultured bacterium
Lineage: Bacteria
Description: partial 16S ribosomal RNA
Rfam family: Bacterial small subunit ribosomal RNA
Source: RNAcentral